UACGGAGGGGGCUAGCGUUGUUCGGAAUUACUGGGCGUAAAGCGUGCGCAGGCGGUUUUGUAAGACAGAUGUGAAAUCCCCGGGCUCAACCUGGGAACUGCGUUUGUGACUGCAAGACUCGAGUGCGGCAGAGGGGGGUGGAAUUCCACGUGUAGCAGUGAAAUGCGUAGAGAUGUGGAGGAACACCAAUGGCGAAGGCAGCUCGCUGGGACGUGACUGACGCUGAGACGCGAAAGCGUGGGGAGCAAACAGG
This 253-nucleotide ribosomal RNA is filed under the name uncultured bacterium. RNAcentral describes it as "partial 16S ribosomal RNA". It matches the Rfam family "Bacterial small subunit ribosomal RNA", at positions 524 to 776 of the family's 1533-position model. The record is from RNAcentral.